UUCCGGUUGAUCCUGCCGGACCCGACUGCUAUCGGAUUGAGAUUUAGCCAUGCGAGUCGAACGUUCCCCUGUUGCGGGGAGCGUGGCGUACGGCUCAGUAACACGUAGUCAACCUGCCCUGGAGACAAGGACAACCCCGGGAAACUGGGAUUAAUCCUUGAUAGGUCAUCUCAUCUGGAAGGAGAGAUGGCUUAAAGGGGUACGAGGGCUUCUUCCACGUAUUCGCUCCAGGAUGGGACUGCGACCGAUCAGGCUGUUGGCGGGGUAAUGGCCCACCAAACCUGUAACCGGUACGGGCCUUGAGAGAGGUGGCCCGGAGAUGGACACUGAGAGAAGGGUCCAGGUCCUACGGGGCGCAGCAGGCGCGAAACCUUCGCAAUGCGCGAAAGCGUGACGAGGUUAAUCCGAGUGACUCCCGCUGAGGGGGUCUUUUGUCAGCUGUAAAUAGGCAGGCGAAUAAGGGGAGGGCAAGCCUGGUGUCAGCCGCCGCGGUAAUACCAGCUCCUCGAGUGGUCGGGGCGAUUAUUGGGCCUAAAGCAUCCGUAGCCGGUUCCGUAGGUCCUCUGUUAAAUCCAACCGCUCAACGGUUGACCUGCAGAGGAUACCGCGGGACUAGGAGGCGGGAGAGGCGGACGGUACUCCGCGUGUAGGGGUAAAAUCCUUUGAUCCGCGGAAGACCACCAGUGGCGAAGGCGGUCCGCCAGAACGCGCUCGACGGUGAGGGAUGAAAGCUGGGGGAGCGAACCGGAUUAGAUACCCGGGUAGUCCCAGCCGUAAACGAUGCUAGCUAGAUGAUUCAUUCGCAAGUCGCGAAUGAAGUGUCGCAGGGAAGCCGUUAAGCUAGCCGCCUGGGGAGUACGGUCGCAAGACUGAAACUUAAAGGAAUUGGCGGGGGAGCA
Molecule: ribosomal RNA, 899 nt
Filed under: uncultured archaeon
Lineage: Archaea
Description: bacterial SSU rRNA
Rfam family: Archaeal small subunit ribosomal RNA
Source: RNAcentral